CAUAAGAUAACAGCAAAAUUCUGAAAAGUCCCUAGGCAUGAGCCAAUCGGGAUUGUAUCCAUACUGAAAUCCCACUAAUGUGGUCACCUUGUGGUUUUUGCCUUUAGUAUCCAUGCAUGCUCAGGAAGAGGUACCUCCUCUAGCCUCCACUGUGUAGGUGUGCUUGAAGAGGUCCCUGCAGCAGCUUGAAUUUCUCCACUAAACCUUGCUUUUGCAUUUCGGUUUUCUAUAAUGUGGCUGCUGGUGAAGUAGAACUAAGACCAACAACAUGUACCCGGGCUGAGUCUGUCUUAGAUGAAUGUCCUUUUAAAACCAACCUCUAUCGAUUUCGCGUAUGUAUUUGAUAGUCACCAAUGGGCAGUCAAGCAUUCAGAGGGUAAAUGGACUUCUGUUUGUACAGGAUAUGUUGAGAGAAUCUUUGAGUGCCAGUCAGGAAAUGCAUAGUAAAGUUAUGAUUCAUAAAUGGAAACUGUUUCACAUGGAGAUAUAUAAAGUCAAACAAAUGUACUAUGGUGCCCUCAGAAGAGGGGUAUGUGCACAAAUGACAGACUUAAGUUUCUAAGUGUGUUUACUAUUGGUCUUUAUACUGAAAGGACAACACCAUUGCAGCACUUUCUAUGAUGAAAGCAUAAGUUUAAUCACAGCAAGAAAAGCUGUGAGGAUCUCCUCGGAAGAAUAGAGCCCAGUAAAAGGCCAAUGCUCUGCAGUGCUGCCCCCAUCCCCGGCCUUCUUCAUGCCUCCCUCUUCUUUCCCAGUGUGCAUAACCUGUACUGCUAGUUGAGCCUUCAAUUUCUGAUUCCACUGAAUGAACUGUUUCCCUCUUCUGCCCUGGCUUCUUCUUCUGCAUCAGCACAACACACCUUGACUAAGUUGCACAGAAAUCCAGGUACAAGUGAAGUGUGCAGCCAUCUCUAUGGAAGAUGAAUCUUCUAUACUGUGUGGGUAAUGGUUUGAGCAGCUAAGGAAUUCUGGCAUGAACCCUGAACAAAUAAAUAUCAUCCAUAACAUAAAGCUACUGCACACAUGGAAACUAGUCCCAGUACAGGAAUUAAUCCUGUUAUUCUUCUAAAGGACAAUAAAAAUAUAACUCAAUACUGGAAAAGGAACGGAAGAGAAAAAACAUGCAGCAAGUUCAAGUCUGAACUGUCCAACUGCCCCUUCAGUGAACAUCCAGAUCACCAGAAGAGAGUAUCCUGCUUUUUCAGGAUUGUCAACACACCCUUCAGUAUGAGUUUGAUUUCCAUAACCUUCAAGUGCAAAAGUAUCUGAGGUUGUGAGAAUGGCUGGGCUGUUUUCACCAUCUUUUACAUGUUUCUUGAAGAACCCCUUAACUCAGAUGGGUCCAACAGCCUCUAGGGAUUUCACUCCAUUGUGAAUUUUGUGCAUUGCUGAGAACUUUCCACUUUUUCUUUUCUUCUCUAUUCCUUCAUCUUCACUAUUGCAAGCUUCACAAGGCUUGCCUUUGCUUUGCUCAAUAAAAAUAGUCAUUGAAUUUUGACUUGAUGCUUUCUCAUAGUGUGUGGUGAAAUGGGAUCAAACAGACAGGACCUGAGGCAACUUACCCACAUUUGUGUGUCAGGCAUGCACCAUUGCCUGUUCAAUUGAACAGGGUUCAGAACAUACAAAGAACAAAAUGUUGUGGCAUUUAUAACCCACAUGCACUUACUUCUGCAGAAUGAGCAGAAGGAAGAACUUUGUUUCUCACCUUGGAACACUUAUGAUCACUUUGAAAAGGACUCAGAAAGUGAAGCAUAUAGUCAUUAUCACAGAUGAUGCAUGUGUCAACUGAGUGUGGAGAGCUAACAUGGUGGAGAGCAUGCUUUGUUUCUCAAAUUGCCACAGGCUUAAGAUAUAACAGUUAAUGCCCUCAUAUGUUUGUGAAAACUUGUAGACAAUUGUGCGCAGUGUAAAGUGUGUAUGUGUGUGUGCGUGUAUGUGUGUUUGAGUGUGUGUGCUUGUGUAGGCAUCCUUGUGUGUAAUUGAUGAGGAAAAUAUUAACCAGCAUUUGAGACAGGGUAAAAGGACUCAGUACCCUGGGCACCCAUCCCAUAAACCCUGGGCCACUGCAGGUGAAAUUUUUUUUUCUUCAUAUGUACUGUCGAGAUUAACAGUGGCUUCUUACUUUUUACAUAAAGACUGAAAUAUGGUAGACGAUCUUUGAUCUCCAUAGGGACAUAUUUGCCAGAUACAAGAACUCAGUGCCAUGAGGCUGCCAGAUACAAUGAUUACCUAAUUUGUUCUAGUAUAAUGAAAAUUUAGGAGUCAGAAAUUGAGAUAAAACCUGAAAUAUCCAGGGAAAGCAGAGCUGACCCUCUCUCCAUGUUUUUCCUGCAUCAUCCACAGUAGAAAAUCUAUGGAAUUACUCUUCCUUUCUUCCUGUACUCUACUGACCCCUCCAAAAUCCUCCAAGAAAUGUAUAGGUAAUACAGUCCUUCAAUCAUAAACUCUGUCCUUUGAUUCAAGGUUGCUUUAUUGACACGGUGGACUGGCUGUAUGGACAAUUUUUCUGAAACAGUGCCACCUCAGUUAUAGGCAACAUUUUAGUGCCCCAUAUGGGAGACUUGACCUAACAUCCUCAUGGUAUUUUUACCAAAGAAGCAAAAAUUCAGUUCACCCCUAAUGGGUAAUUUUUUUUUCUUUCACAGACUAU
Peromyscus leucopus (white-footed mouse) is the source of this 2650-nucleotide long non-coding RNA. RefSeq lists it as uncharacterized. Lineage: Eukaryota; Metazoa; Chordata; Mammalia; Rodentia; Cricetidae. The record is from RefSeq and is a predicted model, not a curated record. The transcript has 3 exons.